RNAcentral lists this unclassified non-coding RNA (449 nucleotides) under Pseudobutyrivibrio ruminis. The record is from RNAcentral. Lineage: Bacteria; Bacillati; Bacillota; Clostridia; Lachnospirales; Lachnospiraceae.
AUCGGAAGGUGCGGCUGGAUCACCUCCUUUCUAAGGAAAAAGUAGAGAUUUGUUUCACUGUUCAGGUAUUAAUCCUGAAUUAAAUAUGGUUUCCGGUGGCGAUGCGGUUAGGGGUAACACCCGUACACAUCCCGAACACGAUGGUUAAGACCUAAUCGGCCGAUAAUACUACGUUGGAGACGACGUGGGAAGGUAGGUGGCUGCCGGGUUUGCUUAAACAGCAAGGAAACUUGCUUUCAUAUAUAAACAUCACCGCCAAGCGCGGCGAUCAUUAGAGGAUUCAGCAAGCUGAGUUUUCUAAUGGUCGAAAGGCCAAAAUAGCAACUUGAAAACUUCAUACAGUAGAGAUAAUGAUUUUAAGAUAAUCUUAAAUAUCAAGACAUCCGAGAAUUAACAAACCAAAAGUUCUUAUUGAACAAACUUUUAAAAUAUCAAGCUACAUUUUGAGA